This 369-nucleotide ribosomal RNA is filed under the name uncultured bacterium. RNAcentral's name for it is "bacterial SSU rRNA". It matches the Rfam family "Bacterial small subunit ribosomal RNA", at positions 28 to 399 of the family's 1533-position model. The record is from RNAcentral.
AACGAACGCUGGCGGCAGGCUUAACACAUGCAAGUCGAACGCUCGGAGCGAUCCGGGAGUGGCGGACGGGUGAGUAACGCGUGGGAACGGUGCCCUCGAGGUUGGGGAAGUAAACUGCGGGGAAACGUAGCAGCUAAUACCUGAUGAGCCCCGACGCAAUCGGGGGAAAGGAAUUUAUUCGCCUUGGGAGGCGGCCCGCGUCGGAUUAGCUAGUUGGUUGGGGUAACGGCCGUACCAACGGCUUCGAUCCGUAGCUGGUCUGAGAGGACGAUCAGCCACACUGGGACUGGAGACACGGCCCAGACUCCUACGGGAGGCGAGCAGUGGGAAGUCGUUCGCAAUGGGCGAAAGGCCUGCGCAGCAACGCCG